AGGGUUUGAUCAUGGCUCAGAUUGAACGCUGGCGAAAUGCUUUACACAUGCAAGUCGAACGGCAGCACGGAGAGCUUGCUCUCUGGUGGCGAGUGGCGAACGGGUGAGUAAUAUAUCGGAACGUGUCCAAUAAUGGGGGAUAACGAGUCGAAAGAUUCGCUAAUACCGCAUACGCCCUACGGGGGAAAGCAGGGGAUCGUAAGACCUUGCGUUAAUGGAGCGGCCGAUAUCUGAUUAGCUUGUUGGUGAGGUAAAGGCUCACCAAGGCGACGAUCAGUAGCUGGUUUGAGAGAACGACCAGCCACACUGGAACUGAGACACGGUCCAGACUCCUACGGGAGGCAGCAGUGGGGAAUUUUGGACAAUGGGGGCAACCCUGAUCCAGCCAUUCCGCGUGAGUGAAGAAGGCCUUCGGGUUGUAAAGCUCUUUCGCAAGGGAAGAAAACUUAUGAUCGAAUAAAUCAUGAGGUUGACGGUACCUUGAUAAGAAGCACCGGCUAACUACGUGCCAGCAGCCGCGGUAAUACA
RNAcentral lists this ribosomal RNA (528 nucleotides) under uncultured Methylophilus sp. RNAcentral's name for it is "bacterial SSU rRNA". It matches the Rfam family "Bacterial small subunit ribosomal RNA", at positions 8 to 527 of the family's 1533-position model. Lineage: Bacteria; Pseudomonadati; Pseudomonadota; Betaproteobacteria; Nitrosomonadales; Methylophilaceae. The record is from RNAcentral.